UAAGUGAAUAGUGAAAUCUGGGGGCUCAACCUCACAGACUAUUAUUCAAACUGGCAGACUCGAGAAUGGUAGAGGUAACUGGAAUUUCUAGUGUAGGAGUGAAAUCCGUAGAUAUUAGAAGGAACACCAAUGGCGUAGGCAGGUUACUGGACCAUUUCUGACACUGAGGCACGAAAGCGUGGGGAGCGAACCGGAUUAGAUACCCGGGUAGUCCACGCCGUAAACUAUGGAUACUA
RNAcentral lists this ribosomal RNA (236 nucleotides) under uncultured Candidatus Saccharibacteria bacterium. RNAcentral's name for it is "partial 16S ribosomal RNA". It matches the Rfam family "Bacterial small subunit ribosomal RNA", at positions 584 to 818 of the family's 1533-position model. The record is from RNAcentral. Lineage: Bacteria; Candidatus Saccharimonadota.